CGCAUUAGAAAAUUAUCAUGCAUCUCUCCCUGGCCCCAUUGCUUUAGUUUCAUUUAGAGAUAUGGCAUGGAAACAGGCCCUUCCGCCCACCGACCUACACCGAUUAUCGAAUGCCCUUUCGCACUAGUUCCAUGUCAUCCCACUUUCUCAUCCACUCCCUACACACUAGGGGCAAUUUUACAGAGGUUAAUAAUGACUCCAAACCCAUAUGUCUUUGGGAUGGAACUGGAGCCACCAGAGAAAACCCAGGCGGUCACAGGAAAAUCGUGCAAACUCCACACAGCCAGCACCCGAGGUCAGUAUGAAACUCGGGGCACUGGCGCUGUGAGGCAGCAACUCUCUCCGCUGCAUCACUGUGCACACUUGUGUGAUUGGAGUUUGUUAGUUGUGUGUUUGGGAUAAGGUCAAAUCAUGAAGCCAUCAGCUGAGACCUAGGUGAUUGAAUAAGCAUUGGUCUGAACCAGCCUCAUCCUUGCCCUGUGUUCCCCUACAAGGGAAUGGGAUAUAAACGUGAAGUAUAUAAUACAAUUAUUGACAAAUUUACCAAUUUGAACUGUUAAUAAAUAUUUUUCAUGAA
Amblyraja radiata (thorny skate) is the source of this 577-nucleotide long non-coding RNA. RefSeq lists it as uncharacterized. NCBI's taxonomy places the organism in Eukaryota, Metazoa, Chordata, Chondrichthyes, Rajiformes, Rajidae. The record is from RefSeq and is a predicted model, not a curated record. The transcript has 2 exons.